This 497-nucleotide ribosomal RNA is filed under the name uncultured bacterium. RNAcentral describes it as "partial 16S ribosomal RNA". It matches the Rfam family "Bacterial small subunit ribosomal RNA", at positions 28 to 507 of the family's 1533-position model. The record is from RNAcentral.
GAUGAACGCUGGCGGCGUGCCUAAUACAUGCAAGUCGAGCGAACGGACGAGAAGCUUGCUUCUCUGAUGUUAGCGGCGGACGGGUGAGUAACACGUGGAUAACCUACCUAUAAGACUGGGAUAACUUCGGGAAACCGGAGCUAAUACCGGAUGAUAUUUUGAACCGCAUGGUUCAAAAGUGAAAGACGGUCUUGCUGUCACUUAUAGAUGGAUCCGCGCUGCAUUAGCUAGUUGGUAAGGUAACGGCUUACCAAGGCAACGAUGCAUAGCCGACCUGAGAGGGUGAUCGGCCACACUGGAACUGGGACACGGUCCAGACUCCUACGGGGGGCAGCAGUAGGGAAUCUUCCGCAAUGGGCGAAAGCCUGACGGAGCAACGCCGCGUGAGUGAUGAAGGUCUUCGGAUCGUAAAACUCUGUUAUUAGGGAAGAACAUAUGUGUAAGUAACUGUGCACAUCUUGACGGUACCUAAUCAGAAAGCCACGGCUAACUACGUG